Rhipicephalus sanguineus (brown dog tick) is the source of this 638-nucleotide long non-coding RNA. RefSeq lists it as uncharacterized. The transcript is spliced from 4 exons. Lineage: Eukaryota; Metazoa; Arthropoda; Arachnida; Ixodida; Ixodidae. The record is from RefSeq and is a predicted model, not a curated record.
CCCACUUGGUAUUGGAACAAAUGCGCAGGGUCAGAAGAAACGAGCCGAGAAUCUCGUAAAGGACACGGGCGUGGCACGAAGCCUGGUGGUUCUGAAACGGAGCACAAGAAACAACGUAGACCAAGUAGACCAAUCAAACAAAAGCUCACCUCUGUAGGGAAACAGCGACCAACACAUGGUUCCGAAGAAAACGAGGCGGGCACUAGCAGUGAAAGCGAGAAAGGACAUGGCGGCACCCAACGGCCGACGAAGUCUGGUGGACAGCACCACCCAAAACGUAGACCAACAAAACCAACGAAGGGGAGACCCGGAGGUGGAACAAAACAUUGGGCACCUUCGUCACCAAGUCAUAGCGUGAAAGGAAGCUGCGGAGCACGACCAAGGAGAGGAAAGUGCGAAGAAAAUAGCGGCAUGUGGUACAACGACGGCGAUUUCUACACUUGCUCUCGUGUGCGUGAAGGGAUCUGUCCAACUGUCGGUUCGUUCUUCGAAAGCUGUGAAGACUGCAUGCGAAAAUGUCGAAGGCACAUGCUCAAAACGUGCGCGUACAAGACUUGAACGUGAAACCUGGCCCAGAUUUCUGCAUUCUCCGGAAAGUAGUUUGAAAUAGUGAUUACCAAUAAAACAUAUCACAAGAA